This is a long non-coding RNA of Oncorhynchus tshawytscha (Chinook salmon), 1274 nucleotides long. The record is from Ensembl. NCBI's taxonomy places the organism in Eukaryota, Metazoa, Chordata, Actinopteri, Salmoniformes, Salmonidae.
AGUAUCCAUCGUGAUAUUUUAAACAGUCCAUAAAGCACUCAGGACGGCCCUGAAAGAGAGGGGCCGUAGUAGGGUGCUUCCAUAUCGGGCAUUAAUAUGAGAAUGACCCUUAAAUGCAUUUAGGACCAUAUUUUAAUUUUUGGGUUCCCAGGUGCACGUUUUCAAUCACCAGGUGCACGGAUGUAUAGGGUCCCCCAUGGAUAAAAGGUCCGUAUUAGGGUGCUCCCAUAGCGGGCAUGACUUUUUGGAACACCGCUCAUGUAAUUUUAGGUUCCCAGGUGCACGUUUUCAAUCACCAGUUGCACAACAAUCAGUAUCCAUCAGAACAUGUUAAAGUGUCCAUAAAUCCCUCAGGACGGCCCCUAUGGAAAGAGGGCCGUAGUAGGGUACUCCUAUAACAGGGCAUUAAUAUCAGAAUGACCCUUAAAUGCAUUUAGGACCAUAUUUUAAUUUUUGGGUUCCCAGGUGCACGUUUUCAAUCACCAGUUGCACAACAAUCAGUAUCCAUCGUGAUAUUUUAAACAGUCCAUAAAGCACUCAGGACGGCCCUGACAGAGAGAGGGCCGUAGUAGGGUGCUUCCAUAUCGGGCAUUAAUAUGAGAAUGACCCUUAAAUGCAUUUAGGACCAUAUUUUAAUUUUUGGGUUCCCAGGUGCACGUUUUCAAUCACCAGUUGCACAACAAUCAGUAUCCAUCGUGAUAUUUUAAACAGUCCAUAAAGCACUCAGGACGGCCCUGACAGAGAGAGGGCCGUAGUAGGGUGCUUCCAUAUCGGGCAUUAAUAUGAGAAUGACCCUUAAAUGCAUUUAGGACCAUAUUUUAAUUUUUGGGUUCCCAGGUGCACGUUUUCAAUCACCAGUUGCACAACAAUGAGUAUCCAUCAGAACAUGUUAAAGUGUCCAUAAAUCCCUCAGGACGGCCCCUAUGGAAAGAGGGCCGUAGUAGGGUACUCCUAUAACAGGGCAUUAAUAUCAGAAUGACCGGUAAAUGCAUUUUGGAGCUUAUUUUAAUUUUUGGGUUCCCAGGUGCACAUUUCAAAUCACCAGUUGCACAACAAUGAGUAUCCAUCAGAACAUGUUAAAGUUCCAUAAAUCCCUCAGGACGGCCCCUAUGGAAAGGGGCCGUAGUAGGGUACUCCUAUAACAGGGCAUUAAUAUCAGAAUGACCGGUAAAUGCAUUUUGGAGCUUAUUUUAAUUUUUGGGUUCCCAGGUGCACAUUUCAGAUCACCAGUUGCACAACAAUGAGUAUCCAUCAGAACAUGUUAAAGUGUCCAU